This 253-nucleotide ribosomal RNA is filed under the name uncultured bacterium. Its description in RNAcentral is "partial 16S ribosomal RNA". It matches the Rfam family "Bacterial small subunit ribosomal RNA", at positions 524 to 776 of the family's 1533-position model. The record is from RNAcentral.
UACAGAGGGGGCAAGCGUUGUUCGGAAUUACUGGGCGUAAAGGGCGCGUAGGCGGCCUUCUAAGUCAGACGUGAAAUCCCUCGGCUCAACCGGGGAACUGCGUCUGAGACUGGAAGGCUUGAAUCCGGGAGAGGGAUGUGGAAUUCCAGGUGUAGCGGUGAAAUGCGUAGAUAUCGGAAGGAACACCGGUGGCGAAGGCGGCUUUCUGGACAGAUACCGACGCUGAGGCACGAAAGCUAGGGGAGCAAACAGG